Molecule: ribosomal RNA, 439 nt
Filed under: uncultured bacterium
Lineage: Bacteria
Description: partial 16S ribosomal RNA
Rfam family: Bacterial small subunit ribosomal RNA
Source: RNAcentral
CCUACGGGUGACAGCAGUGAGGGAUAUUGGUCAAUGGGGGAAACCCUGAACCAGCAACGCCGCGUGAGGGAAGACGGUUUUUGGAUUGUAAACCUCUGUCCUCUGUGAAGAUAAUGACGGUAGCAGAGGAGGAAGCUCCGGCUAACUACGUGCCAGCAGCCGCGGUAAUACGUAGGGAGCAAGCGUUGUCCGGAUUUACUGGGUGUAAAGGGUGCGUAGGCGGCUUUGCAAGUCAGAAGUGAAAUCCAUGGGCUUAACCCCGGCCUGCCGUCGGAACUGGGUGCCUUGAGUGGGCGAGAAGUAUGCGGCAUGCGUGGUGUAGCGGUGAAAUGCAUAGAUAUCACGCAGAACCCCGAUUGCGAAGGCAGCAUACCGGCGCCCUACUGACGCUGAGGCACGAAAGUGCGGGUAUCGAACAGGAUUAGAUACCCUUGUAGUC